Molecule: ribosomal RNA, 1443 nt
Filed under: Scinax castroviejoi
Lineage: Eukaryota; Metazoa; Chordata; Amphibia; Anura; Hylidae
Description: partial 16S large subunit ribosomal RNA
Rfam family: Bacterial large subunit ribosomal RNA
Source: RNAcentral
GCCUAAAACCUAGCUCUACCACUACCUAUGUACUUAACCACCUACGAACUUAAACUAAAACAUUUAAACAAUUUAGUAAAGGAGAUUAAAAAAUUUUUCUGAAGCAAUAAAACCAGUACCGCAAGGGAAAGAUGAAAUAUGAAUGAAAAAUCUUUAAGCAAAAAAAAGUAGAGCUAGACCCUCGUACCUUUUGCAUCAUGGUUCAACUAGUCCAAUCAAGCAAAAAGCAUUACAGUUUGACCCCCCGAAACUAAGCGAGCUACUUCAGGGCAGCUUAUUGAGCCAACCCGUCUCUGUGGCAAAAGAGUGGGAAGACCCCCAAGUAGUGGCGACAUACCUAACGAGCUUAGUGAUAGCUGGUUACUCAAGAAAAGGAUUUUAGUCCAACCUAAAGUCUCCCCCUUAAACCAAAAACACCUCUUGACUUUAGAGCAAAUCAAAUAAGGUACAGCCUAUUUGAAACAGGAUACAACCUCACCUGACGGGUAAGCUUUCACCCUGACUUUUAAGUGGGCCUAAGAGCAGCCACCUUUCUAAAAGCGUCACAGCUUAGUCUUCCUACCCCCCCCCCAAUUUCUAAUAUCAUCUCAACCCCUCUUACACUAUUGAGUAAUCCUAUACCCCUAUAGAAAAUUUUAUGUUGAAACUAGUAACAAGAAGACUAGACCUUCUCUAAAGUGCAAACAUAAGUCAGAAAGGAUAAACCACUGACAAUUAACGCCCAUGAACACCUAUUAGCAACUUUUCCCCCCAAGAAAAACCUAAUUUCUCCCACGUUAACCUGACACAAGAGCACUUCAAGAAAGAUUAAAAGAAAAAGAAGGAACUCGGCGAAUCUUAACCCCGCCUGUUUACCAAAAACAUCGCCUCUUGCAUAAAAAUAAGAGGUCCAGCCUGCCCAGUGACAAUUGUUCAACGGCCGCGGUAUCCUAACCGUGCGAAGGUAGCGUAAUCACUUGUUCUUUAAAUGAGGACUAGUAUGAACGGCAUCACGAGGGUUAUACUGUCUCCUUUUUCCAAUCAGUGAAACUAAUCUCCCCGUGAAGAAGCGGGGAUACAACUAUAAGACGAGAAGACCCUAUGGAGCUUUAAAUUUCUCUUCAGAAGCCAGACUACCCAAACAAGUCACCGACCCCCUCCUCACUAACCCUUGGCACCAUGAAGAAGACUUUUAGGUUGGGGUGACCACGGAGCACAAAAAAACCUCCAUGCUGAACUAGGCCUCAUAACCUUUAGCUGAGGGCUACAACCCGACGCAUUAACAAACUAACACCCAUUGACCCAAUAACCAUUGAUCAACGAACCAAGUUACCCUAGGGAUAACAGCGCAAUCCACUUCAAGAGUCCUUAUCGACAAGUGGGUUUACGACCUCGAUGUUGGAUCAGGGUAUCCCAGUGGUGCAGCCGCUACUAAUGGUUCGUUUGUUCAACGAUUAAAACCCU